Molecule: ribosomal RNA, 408 nt
Filed under: uncultured bacterium
Lineage: Bacteria
Description: partial 16S ribosomal RNA
Rfam family: Bacterial small subunit ribosomal RNA
Source: RNAcentral
AUUGAACGCUGGCGGCGUGCCUAAUACAUUCAAGUCGAACGGAGUGGCGCACGUGUGAGUAAUGUAUAGCUAAUCUGCCCUACACUAAAGGCCAACCGUUGGAAACGGCUGCUAAUACUCUAUAGUGUAGGAUGAGGCUAUAUUGUAUCAGCUAGUUGGUGAGGUAAUGCCUCACCAAGCGUAUGACGCAUAACGGGUCUGAGAGGAUGAUCAGUCACACUGGAACUGAGACACGGGCCAGACUCCUACGGGAGGCAGCAGUAGGGAAUAAUGCUCAAUGGGGGAAACCCUGAAGCAGAAACGGCGCGUGGAGGAUGACACUUUUCGGAGCGUAAACUCCUUUUGUUAGGGAAGAGGUACCUAACGAGUAAGCACCGGAUAACUCCGUGCCAGCAGCCGCGGUAAUUC